Molecule: long non-coding RNA, 3526 nt
Filed under: Drosophila guanche
Lineage: Eukaryota; Metazoa; Arthropoda; Insecta; Diptera; Drosophilidae
Source: RNAcentral
GCUGCGUGCUCUACACGCACUAAUACACAUGUAGCUGGGACUUCAGCUGCGUGUUCUACAUGCACUAAUACUUGUGUUGCAUUCGAAGGAGAGCGAUAUGCAAAAUACUAGAUUUGGUAGUAUUUUUUUGGAGGUUGAUAGGUCGAUAGGCGAAGGGGCAAGGCGAUCAACGGUGCCGGUGAGAGAGCGGGAGAAUGUAAAGGAGGGGAAUAUUGCGNAAAUAUUAUAACGUUUAAAAUGAAGUGCUAGCGUGUUUAGUAUGGGGGGGGAAAGGGGACCACAGCGGCGAAAUGGAGAAAGUCCGCCACACUUGGGAAGGAGAGCUGAGGUAUUCUGAGUCGCAUCUCAGGUAGAGUACGUAGGAGCUAGACCAUCGGCACCUCAGACUUGUCCACGUCUGGGGUGGAGAGAUGUUUGUCCGUUAGAUGUAGAGUAAAGUCCGAUGCAUUGUUUUGAAUUAUCGUUUGUUUUUUUUGAUAUUUGUUCGAGAUGUCCGAACAGUUGGUUUGUUGUGCGACCUGGGGGCCUGGGAAGAACUCAGCCCUGGGAUGACUGGCUAGCCGGCCUUGCCCCAACACCAAAACAGGUUCGUAACAAUAAUGGCGCCCAAUUUAAGACAAAUUUAUGAGUCGCAGUCCGUUCUCGAACAUGAAAGUGGGAGAGUACGGCUGCGAAUCAUAAAGUUCGAAGAGAUUAUAAAUGUCCAGCCGAGAGGAACGAUCUCGAGUGGUAGUCUGCAGUAAGGGUCCGUCUGUGUUCCGGUGGCCUGUGAGGAGCUUUGAAGGCUGGCUCGCAGAUGCACGGCACGGAGGGAUCUGUAAAUGUAAAAAUCCACAAAGUAAAUUGUUUUUUUUAGUUUGAGUUUAAACUUAUCUGACAGAGGGAAGCCGGAGCNAGAGAGCCGGAAAAGAAAAAAUACCCGAAGUUAGAUACGAUGAAAUUUGUUUUGUUGUUCUAUGGUUGUAUCUAAACUUAGCAGACAGAGGGAAGCCGGAGCUCUCAAGGGGGUAAGGUUUGGCACUGGCUGAGGAGAGUCCUCAAGCCAGUUAGCAACCGACCCGUUGCCUGGUGGACAGAAGAGAGCCUGGAAAGAAAAAAAUACCCGAAGUUAGUUAAGUUCGUGUAGUUUGUUUUUGUGCAGCUUCCCCUACUUACCGCUGGAGGACACCGGGAAAGUAGUAUCUCGUAGAGAUUUGUUUUGCUCGAGGUGGCCCGUGGGGACAUUAAGUCGGCCACGCGAUGCACCUGGAGCAGCUACAAGAUCCCGAAGCUAUCCUUCAGUAGAGUAGUGGGACAGAAGCAGCUAGGUAGCAGAGUGAGCGCCCUUGACUCUUAAUCUUCUGUAGAAGAUGAGAGGUCAACAGCACUCGCGAAGAAGUUGAAGACGUUGGACAAGCAAAGACGUAGGGAACCAAGUGCAGAUGGCCCCAGUAGCAGUUGUGGUUACUUUCCCCUCUUAGUGUUGAUCUUGCAGUAAUUUGAAGUUCCGUGUCAGGUUUUGUUUGAGCCUUGAGUUUCUGUGGAAGAGAGAAAAGUAGGUGGUCAGAAAGUUUAUGAGCAACUACAAUUUACGGUCAAAGGGGAAAAUGACUAGCAGGACUCCUCCGCCAGGAAACUUGCCGGAACAGGGCGCAGAAGGAGGAGAGAACGACAGUUGGAACCAGCCGAAGUACCCAAAAGAAUUGCCGUCGGAAAUUCUUUCGGGCAUAAACGUCGCCAUAGCACAAGCGCAGGAGACGCAGAGAGGAGCUAUGGCGGACACCAUCAGCAGGACGCUGCAAGAGGAGAUCCGUCGAGGAUUUAUGGAGCUGAUGGGUGCCAUAACGGAGGCAAUGACGCCCCUGCGCCAGAAGGGAGAGCUGAUCCAGGAUCUGGGCUGGGAGGAUGGUCCGAAUGGCAGAGAAGGCGGUGCGAAGGCUCCAGAAUGGCGAAGACAGAGUACCGGCACCCGACCCAAAGGUUCCGUGGAACAACAGGAGCAUAUUCCACAAGCGCCUCCGAGGAAGCCGGAGAGACUGAGCCAAUAUUGGUCACGCAGGGUGGAAGAUGGCGACCUGGAAACGAGACCGAUGGUACCUGAACGUGAACCAGCAGGAGACGGCGGAGCUCGGCGAUACACGACGCCCUACGAGAGGCGAGACGACUGGAGAGAGCCGAGAUGGGGACGCAUCGACAAAUGGGACAUCCAUUUCGACGGCGACCCAGACCCGGCCAAACUGACGGUGGAGGAUUUUGUGUUUCGGGUCGAAUUUCUCCAGAGGCAGAGUCGACGCUCGUGGGACGAAGUCCUUGAUAAUUUUCACCAUCUGGUGAGAGGACGUGCUGCCGAGUGGUACUGGCAGUUUGUAAGAGAGAAUCCUCCAGAAGUCUGGGAGGACUUAAAGGACGAGUUGGUAUCCCGAUUCCGUGCAGUAGGUGGGCAAUACGAGCGGCUGCGGGCGUUGAAUGAGCGACGGCAAGAACCUGGAGAAUCGGUGGAAGAUUACUUUCGAGCGAUGCGGAGGCUGGCUGCAAGACUGAUCACCCCAAUAGCAGAUCCUGAGAUGGUCAGAGUCGUCAAGAAGGGACUCGAGGAGGAGAUCGCUCGUUAUGUGUACGCGAUCCGAGUCCGAAACCUGGAGCAGCUGAGGGAAGAGUGUGUAGAGGUGGAGUACCUUUUCCGCAGACGCGAGCGAAGGUCAGCUUUUCGCCCAACGCUGAAGUUCCAACAAUCCGGUAAGCGAGUGGAGGAGAUCGAGCCAGAGUCGGAGGAGCUGUUGGAAGGAGAGGAAGAGGUGAUGGUUGAGGAAACCCACCUGACAGCGAAGCCGAGGCUGGGCUGCUGGAAUUGCGGAGAAGUUGGCCACGGGUUCCGAGAGUGUAUGGCCAAGGAACGCAGAGUAUUCUGCUAUCUCUGCGGAAGGCCCGAAACGUACACGCCGAAGUGUCCCAACUGCUCGGGAAACUCAAGAACGGGCAUGAUGAAGGCGGGAUAUCAGAGCUCGGGACGGAAGCCCGCGAGGAAGUGAAGGAAGCGCUAUUGGAGGUUGUAAAAAUUAAGCAUAUUAACCCAAGUAGUAUAGAAAAAAAUAGUUUAAAAUUCUUACCGGUCGAAGAGAGGAUGAGGAAGUAUAAACAAGCCCGAAAUCGGAUCUUUGACGAACAUCAGCUGAAUGGAAUGCGAGGUGUCAGCCGUAGACUCCAGAGGGCCCGUGCACGCUUCCGGCAAAGGAGACAGACUCGCAAGGAGGUNGGAGUGGGAGCGGUGUUGUUUCAGUUGGACGUCGAAGGAGCCGAGCGUCCGGUGGCUUUCUUCUCCGCCAAGUUAAACAAGCAUCAGCUAAAUUAUUCUGUAACGGAAAAAGAGUGUUUAGCUGCGGUGUUGGCCAUUGAAAAAUUCAGACCGUACAUUGAAUUGAUGCCCUUCACGGUUAUUACGGAUCACGCCAGCCUGAAAUGGCUCAUGUCAUUGAAGGAUCUAAACGGACGUCUUGCGAGGUGGUCAUUGCGACUGCAGAGGUUUGACUUUGGGAUCGAACACCGGAAA